RNAcentral lists this ribosomal RNA (1497 nucleotides) under uncultured bacterium. RNAcentral's name for it is "16S ribosomal RNA". It matches the Rfam family "Bacterial small subunit ribosomal RNA". The record is from RNAcentral.
AGUUCGAUCAUGGCUCAGGAUGAACGCUGGCGGCAUGCCUAAUACAUGCAAGUCGAACGGAGUGAAGCCUUCGGGUUUCAUUCAGUGGCGAACGGGUGAGUAAUACGCAGGGAACCUGGCCAUGGCAGGGGGAUACACUCUGGAAACGGAGCAUAAGACCCCAUAGGCAGUAAGGCGGCAUCGCCUUACUGUUAAAGAAAGCUGAAAGGCUUUGGCGAUGGAUGGACCUGCGGUGCAUUAGCUUGUUGGUGAGGCAACGGCUUACCAAGGCGAUGAUGCAUAGCCGGCCUGAGAGGGCGGACGGCCACACUGGGACUGAGACACGGCCCAGACUCCUGCGGGAGGCAGCAGUAGGGAAUUUUCGUCAAUGGGCGCAAGCCUGAACGAGCAAUGCCGCGUGAGUGAGGAAGGUCUUCGGACUGUAAAGCUCUGUUGCCGGGGAAAAAGGGGAAAUGCAGGAAAUGGCAUUUCAUGGAUAGUACCCGGCCAGAAAGCCACGGCUAACUACGUGCCAGCAGCCGCGGUAAUACGUAGGUGGCGAGCGUUAUCCGGAAUGAUUGGGCGUAAAGGGUGCGCAGGCGGUCUGUUGAGUCUGAAGGCAAAGGGAUGAGCUCAACUCAUUUAUGAUUCAGAAACUGGCAGACUUGAGGACAGGAGAGGGCGGUGGAACUCCAUGUGUAGCGGUAAAAUGCGCAGAGAUAUGGAAGAACACCAGUGGCGAAGGCGGCCGCCUGGCCUGUGACUGACGCUGAGGCACGAAAGCGUGGGGAGCAAAUAGGAUUAGAUACCCUAGUAGUCCACGCCGUAAACGAUGAGGAGCAGGUGUUGGGAGUGAAAUCUCAGUGCCGAAGCCAACGCAGUGACUCCUCCGCCUGGGGAGUAUGCACGCAAGUGUGAAACUCAAAGGAAUUGACGGGGGCCCGCACAAGCGGUGGAGUAUGUGGUUUAAUUCGAAGCAACGCGAAGAACCUUACCAGGUUUUGACAUCGGAUGCGAAGGUGCAGAGAUGCGCUGGAGGUUAACAUCCAGACAGGUGGUGCAUGGUUGUCGUCAGCUCGUGUCGUGAGAUGUUCAGUUAAGUCUGGCAACGAGCGCAACCCCCGUGGUAUGUUACUAACGCUUAGGGCGAGGACUCAUAUCAGACUGCCGGUGACAAACCGGAGGAAGGCGGGGAUGACGUCAAAUCAUCAUGCCCCUUAUGACCUGGGCUACACACGUACUACAAUGGCGUCUACAGAGGGAAGCGACCCUGAGAAGGGAAGCGAAACCGGAAAAGGGCGUCCCAGUUCGGAUUGAAGUCUGCAACCCGACUUCAUGAAGAUGGAAUCGCUAGUAAUCGCGGAUCAGCAUGCCGCGGUGAAUACGUUCCCGGGCCUUGUACACACCGCCCGUCAAACCAUGGAAGCCGGCAACGCCCGAAGCCGGUGGCAUAACCUUUUAGGAGUGAGCCGUCGAAGGCGGGGCCGAUGACUGGGGUUAAGUCGUAACAAGGUACCC